ACCCCAAAGUUUGACCUCGGAUCAGGUAGGG
Molecule: ribosomal RNA, 31 nt
Filed under: Humicola brunnea var. africana
Lineage: Eukaryota; Fungi; Ascomycota; Sordariomycetes; Sordariales; Chaetomiaceae
Description: partial 28S ribosomal RNA
Source: RNAcentral